UAAAUACUCCCUCCGUCCUAAAAUUCUUGUCUUAUGUUUGUCACAUAAGACAAGAAUUUUAGGACGGAGGAAGUAUAAA
This 79-nucleotide microRNA precursor is filed under the name Hordeum vulgare. Its description in RNAcentral is "microRNA MIR1122". It matches the Rfam family "MIR1120/MIR1122 microRNA precursor family". The record is from RNAcentral. Lineage: Eukaryota; Viridiplantae; Streptophyta; Magnoliopsida; Poales; Poaceae.